CGAUGACAUUAAUUCACCAGUGAGAGGCAGCAGUGCGCUAAUGUGCAACAGGAACAAAACAACAGAAGAAGAAAUAAGGACGGUGAGCAUGCACAAGUUUUGAAGCUGCGUCGAAUUUGCUGAAACUAUGAAGUAGAAAGACUGUUUACAUUUCACCUCUGGACAAAGAAUGAUUGAUUACUUCUACACAAUAAUAAUAAGGAAAAAAGCUUGUGUCAACUGUCUUCUCUGAGCAGCGGUCUUGUGAUCACCAGCCUCAGUAUAAUAAAGAUUUGACAGAACUACACACCCAUCUGAUGCCUACCUGUUUUAAUUCAUGAUCCCCCCGGAUACUUCUACAACUAACCCGCCUUGGUGUCUGAUGCUGAUGCAGUCUGGGCACUAGUAUCUGUUGGCUUGCUGACUAUCACUGACGAUGAAGUACUUCUCCAAAUCUUGACCCAGUGUCUUCUGCCAUCAUUGUUCAGGGUAGUACUGCAAAGAAUAGUCUCCAGGGUCUGCCUCCAACAUUUGCUUCCCGACCACCAUGUGCUACGUUUGCAUCACUGCUACAUGUGGGUUACCCUGAUACUGUGAAGAAAACCUACAAUAUGAUGCUUGACUUGGGACAGAAAAAAAAAACAUUGGCAACUUGUGUGGCCAACUCAUUGCCGUAUUUAAAAUCAUUGUACUGCUACCUCCAUUGUUUAACAUAACUAAAAGCAGAUUGUUUUUGCUCUGUUUAAAAUUGUUUGUAAUACGAAUUAAAACUACAUUGAAAAAAAUAUAUCAUCUUUAACUUUGAACUGUCACUACAUUUGAUUUAGGGUAAUUAUGUGUGUGAAGAAUAGAACAUUGUUGUCAUGAAUUUGUAAUAGUUUUUUGAAGUAAUUAAGUUACUAGAUUAAUGGUAACUUUUUUUUUAAAGGCAAUUGGUCAACUAGAUUUCUGUUCAAGUAAAUACAACUUAGAAAUUCCAAGUUGCAGGAAAUGUUUCUUGAUUUAGCUAAAUUUAAAUGAGUUGUUUGAAAUACGUACAUAGUAUAAUGUACUUAAUUUAGUUGUUGAAAAUAGUAAUUCUGAGUUACACGUUUACAACACUUAUAAAUAAACCUUUGUUAGUACAAAUUACUAUUCUUAUUUCACUUUACUUGUUUUUUUCAAGGCAAUCGGUUUGCAUGCUUUUUUUUUUUUAAAUAAGGUUUACUCAUUAUAAUUUACAGUGCAGACAACCUCCCUGCCCAGUGCACACUAGUGAGAUAGUCAAAACACUGUAAUUGUAGUAAAGUACUGUAACUAUACUGUACUACACUGUGUGAUUCUUUCAGCUCUCUCUCCAGUGCUAGGAUGCAUUUUUAAAGCAGUCACCUGUGCUCCUGUUCAUAAUUUCCUGAGAUGCUACUGAAUGCUUGCUUAUGGAUAAUUGUGUGUUAUUUGAGUUCACACUGUGACAAUAGAGUUAAAUAUUUGAUGUGUUUGUGUUUUAUGAAUGAGACUUUGGAGAAAUCAUUAAAAAAAAUUGUAAUGUGUGUAUAUAUGAAUUUUAUAUGAAUAUUAUAGAAUUUUAUAAUUUCUAAACUACAAAAUUAUUAAAACAUUACAUGAUUGAAGUGUUUACUCAUGGCCCAUGGUCCAUUGUUAAUUUCAAAUUUGGCCUUUGGAUUUAACUAUUAAUGCAUUAAGCCAUUUUUCAAUUUAUGUUUUCUGGUGGACAAAACACUUAAACCUAUACAAAUGUUGUCUUUUUGGUUUAUACUGUCCUUAUCUUGGUGCCAUUAGUUAUAUAUGAUGCUUACAAGAAAGCUGUGAAUUGGUUGUUCCUGGUUGUUGUUUUACAUGUGCACUUCUA
Carassius gibelio (silver crucian carp) is the source of this 1828-nucleotide long non-coding RNA. RefSeq lists it as uncharacterized. The record is from RefSeq and is a predicted model, not a curated record. NCBI's taxonomy places the organism in Eukaryota, Metazoa, Chordata, Actinopteri, Cypriniformes, Cyprinidae. The transcript has 4 exons.